UACGUAGGGUGCAAGCGUUGUCCGGAAUUAUUGGGCGUAAAGAGCUCGUAGGCGGUUUGUUGCGUCGGCUGUGAAAUCCCGAGGCUCAACCUCGGGUCUGCAGUCGAUACGAGCAAACUAGAGUGUUGCAGGGGAGACUGGAAUUCCUGGUGUAGCGGUGAAAUGCGCAGAUAUCAGGAGGAACACCGGUGGCGAAGGCGGGUCUCUGGGCCACUACUGACGCUGAGAAGCGAAAGCAUGGGGAGCGAACAGG
RNAcentral lists this ribosomal RNA (253 nucleotides) under uncultured bacterium. Its description in RNAcentral is "partial 16S ribosomal RNA". It matches the Rfam family "Bacterial small subunit ribosomal RNA", at positions 524 to 776 of the family's 1533-position model. The record is from RNAcentral.